Molecule: small nuclear RNA, 148 nt
Filed under: Ancylostoma ceylanicum
Lineage: Eukaryota; Metazoa; Nematoda; Chromadorea; Rhabditida; Ancylostomatidae
Description: partial U2 spliceosomal RNA
Rfam family: U2 spliceosomal RNA
About the family: U2 is a small nuclear RNA (snRNA) component of the spliceosome (involved in pre-mRNA splicing). Complementary binding between U2 snRNA (in an area lying towards the 5' end but 3' to hairpin I) and the branchpoint sequence (BPS) of the intron results the bulging out of an unpaired adenosine, on the BPS, which initiates a nucleophilic attack at the intronic 5' splice site, thus starting the first of two transesterification reactions that mediate splicing.
Source: RNAcentral
GUUCUUAUCGAAUUAACCUUCGAUAGAGAUUCGAAUGAGUCUCGUUGAGUUUAUUUCAUUUUUGGGACCGGAUGGGGUCGCGGGCUUGCUCGCACCCCAUCGUGGGUCGGCCCAGCGUUGCACUGCUGUUGGGAUCGGCCCACCUCCU